Ovis aries (sheep) is the source of this 72-nucleotide transfer RNA. It matches the Rfam family "tRNA". Rfam says of the family: Transfer RNA (tRNA) molecules are approximately 80 nucleotides in length. Their secondary structure includes four short double-helical elements and three loops (D, anti-codon, and T loops). Further hydrogen bonds mediate the characteristic L-shaped molecular structure. tRNAs have two regions of fundamental functional importance: the anti-codon, which is responsible for specific mRNA codon recognition, and the 3' end, to which the tRNAs corresponding amino acid is attached (by aminoacyl-tRNA synthetases). tRNAs cope with the degeneracy of the genetic code in two manners: having more than one tRNA (with a specific anti-codon) for a particular amino acid; and 'wobble' base-pairing, i.e. permitting non-standard base-pairing at the 3rd anti-codon position. The record is from Rfam. NCBI's taxonomy places the organism in Eukaryota, Metazoa, Chordata, Mammalia, Artiodactyla, Bovidae.
UCCCUGGUGGUCCAGUGGUUAAGAUUCAGCAUUUUCAGUGCUGGGGCCCGGGUUUGAUCCCUGGUCAGGGAA